UAAUUUAAGGCAGCGUCGACUGUCACAUCCAGUCCCAGUGCCCCAAAGCUGCCAGAGUGACAGAAAAGUGUUGAUUAACUUGGGAGGCGGAUACAAGGCAGAAGCUCUGAAAGUCGCCAUGGGCCUUCCCAGAGUGCUUAGCGUCAGGGGAAGUCAGAGAGGUUUCCGUUGAUGCUCUCUUCCCUGCAAACAAUAUUACACAUUCACCAGCCUUUCCUCUGGGUCCUGGAACACCUGCUUCAUGGGCAGUGGAACUUUGGUCGGUGAGAUGAGGCUGACACCUAUCCUGACAGAGGGACCUCAGCAGCCACGGGGCACAGGGCGGGAGCCGCUCUCAAGAAGUGGAAAAGAGGACUGAGAGGCGCUCUACCACCAAGAGGGCCAAGAAGGACGCUUGGGCUUCUCACGGGCUACACUGCAAACCAGAAGUCCCACGGUCUGGAAACUUUAAGACUGUCUCCCACAGUGAGACCCUGUUUUGCAUUUCCUACUCUCUGAAGGACUGAGACAUUUUCCUAUUAUUAUACUUUAUUUAACCCCAUUGGAAAGGAAACCACUUUUCUAGACAAAUCCAGACUCUCCUUUUGGCAGGAGAAGAUGGCAAACAGGUGUAAAGGACUAUUCUCUUUGAGAGGGUACUCAACAACACUGAUGGAGGCCCAUGCAUUGGCACUGUGCUAAGUAUGUUUCCUAUAAGAUCUUAUCACACCAGCACUGCAAGGUGGAACUUUGACUUCUGUCACAGAGACUGAGGGUUGGAGUCUAAGUAACUCAGUUAAAACGAGAACUAAAAGGAGGAUUGUAACAUUGUAGCCCCUUUUCAGUCAGCAGUACACCAGGAACUAUUUUGAGCACUUCACUAUAUUGUUUCAACGUUCUGACAGACCUAUGGAGUAGAAAUCCAUACUCUUCCCAUGCCAUAGACCUGGAAACUGAAUUUCAAAAGCCUUAGAGAAGGGACUAAAAGAGUCAGAAUUGAAAUCUAGUCCUGUUUGCCAAAGAAGCCUGUCCUUCCUCUGCCUCUCUAUAGCCCCGAGUGCAGACAAGGUGAAGGAACACGUCCUUCAGCUCAGCAGCUUCCUGUCCAAGCCAUUGCAGAUUUUCCAACGCAGUGUGGAUAAAUGAAGUCUAGACAAAUCCUCAGAACUGGAGAAUCACAGAUGCAUCUAGGAAGUGAACUCACAGUGUUGCAUUCUGGGAGUUGCCUACUCUUGUUAGCUAAGUGGAAGGAUAAAGAGAGAAGCACCAGGAAAUUGCUGCUGAAAUCAGCUGUUCACAGGAAGCAGAGUUGUAGGUAUCACAGAGGCAGACCAGACCACCAGCCUCAAAUCAUGGAAGGGCUUCCCCCCAAUUCUCCCUUUCAGUCUCCAUGGUGACCUCAUCAUCUCUGGAUGCCAACCAAGUUCUGCUCCUCAGACAGCUCUUCCUAUUGUUGAUAGCUCUUCACUUUUACGUAAGUCCCACUCCCCCACACCCUGCAUCUUUCUGGAAAAUUCCGGCCCUUCUUCACUUCUCUGGCAGUCAUAUGUAUGACAUGAUUUGCUCAAUGCUUGUCUAUAAUUGGUUUCCUGGUGCUGGUGUGGUCUAUUGCUUGGUCUGCAUCCCCAGAGAGUCUGUCUUCUUUGUCAAGGAGACUGUCCCCAUAUCUCAGGGGACUUGGGACAUAAAAGGAAGGCAAAGUGAAUUAAAUAACUUCUUGGACACCUUGCACUUUUAACCACAAAUAUUGAUUGCAUUUCCUCUAAUGCAGAAUAUUCAGUACUAGGAAUAUUACAGACAGCAAGAUCAUCAAGGCAUCACUGCUAGGGUACCAGACUAGCAUUUUCCCUUAGCUCCAGAAAUCCCCAUCAAAAGACAAUCAAGUCUAUACCCCUAUGCAGAUAAGAUUUAUUUUCUAUAACAAGAUGCUUAUAGGUUCUUCUCCUUUAUUUAGGGUUUUAAAAGUAGACAGU
Myodes glareolus (Bank vole) is the source of this 1952-nucleotide non-coding RNA. NCBI's taxonomy places the organism in Eukaryota, Metazoa, Chordata, Mammalia, Rodentia, Cricetidae. The record is from RefSeq and is a predicted model, not a curated record.